GAUAAGACAUGCAAGUCGAACGCUGAUCGUCGGGUAGCAAUAUUCGGCGGUCGGAGUGGCGCAAGGGUGCGUAACACGUGGGUAAUUUGCCGCGAAGACGGGGAUAACUUGCUGAAAGGCGAGCUAAUACCGGAUGUGACUCCUGGAAGGCAUCUUCUGGAAUUCAAAGUUGGGGACCGCAAGGCCUGACACUUCGCGAUAAGCCCGCGGCCUAUCAGCUAGUUGGUGAGGUAACGGCUCACC
This 243-nucleotide ribosomal RNA is filed under the name Climacostomum virens. Its description in RNAcentral is "partial Bacterial small subunit ribosomal RNA". It matches the Rfam family "Bacterial small subunit ribosomal RNA", at positions 49 to 269 of the family's 1533-position model. Lineage: Eukaryota; Ciliophora; Heterotrichea; Heterotrichida; Climacostomidae. The record is from RNAcentral.